RNAcentral lists this unclassified non-coding RNA (391 nucleotides) under soil metagenome. Its description in RNAcentral is "partial contains 5.8S ribosomal RNA, internal transcribed spacer 2, and large subunit ribosomal RNA". The stretch from base 1 to 122 matches the Rfam family "5.8S ribosomal RNA", at positions 35 to 154 of the family's 154-position model. The record is from RNAcentral.
GAUGAAGAACGUAGCGAAAUGCGAUACUUGGUGUGAAUUGCAGAAUCCCGUGAACCAUCGAGUCUUUGAACGCAAGUUGCGCCCGAAGCCACUAGGCCGAGGGCACGCCUGCCUGGGCGUCACACGCCGUUGCCCCCCCAUCUACUCCUUCGGGAUUGCGGGGGGGCGGAUGAUGGCCUCCUGUGCGCCUAGCCGCGCGGUUGGCAUAAAUACCAAGUCCUCGGCGCCGCACGCCACGACAAUCGGUGGUUGCGAAACCUCGGUUGCCCGUCGUGUGCGUUCGUCGCGCAUCGAGGGCUCGAAAAAAUGCUCGGCUCCGGCUGGGCUUUCAACGCGACCCCAGGUCAGGCGGGGUUACCCGCUGAAUUUAAGCAUAUCAAUAAGCGGAGGA